RNAcentral lists this ribosomal RNA (442 nucleotides) under uncultured bacterium. Its description in RNAcentral is "partial 16S ribosomal RNA". It matches the Rfam family "Bacterial small subunit ribosomal RNA", at positions 338 to 795 of the family's 1533-position model. The record is from RNAcentral.
CCUACGGGUGGCAGCAGUGGGGGAUAUUGCACAAUGGGGGAAACCCUGAUGCAGCGACGCCGCGUGGGCGAAGAAGUAUUUCGGUAUGUAAAGCCCUAUCAGCAGGGAAGAAGAAAUGACGGUACCUGAGUAAGAAGCACCGGCUAAAUACGUGCCAGCAGCCGCGGUAAUACGUAUGGUGCAAGCGUUAUCCGGAUUUACUGGGGGUAAAGGGAGCGCAGGCGGCACGGCAAGCCUGAUGUGAAAGCCCGCGGCCCAACCGCGGGACUGCAUUGGGAACUACCGGGCUGGAGUGCCGGAGAGGUAGGCGGAAUUCCUAGUGUAGGGGGUAAAUGCGUUGGUAUUAGGAGGAACACCAGGGGCGAAGGCGGGCUACUGGACGGUGACUGACGCUGAGGCUCGAAAGCGUGGGGAGCAAACAGGAUUAGAUACCCCUGUAGUC